Molecule: ribosomal RNA, 441 nt
Filed under: uncultured Enterobacter sp.
Lineage: Bacteria; Pseudomonadati; Pseudomonadota; Gammaproteobacteria; Enterobacterales; Enterobacteriaceae
Description: bacterial SSU rRNA
Rfam family: Bacterial small subunit ribosomal RNA
Source: RNAcentral
CUAACACAUGCAAGUCGAGCGGUAGCACAGAGAGCUUGCUCUCGGGUGACGAGCGGCGGACGGGUGAGUAAUGUCUGGGAAACUGCCUGAUGGAGGGGGAUAACUACUGGAAACGGUAGCUAAUACCGCAUAACGUCGCAAGACCAAAGAGGGGGACCUUCGGGCCUCUUGCCGUCAGAUGUGCCCAGAUGGGAUUAGCUAGUAGGUGGGGUAACGGCUCACCUAGGCGACGAUCCCUAGCUGGUCUGAGAGGAUGACCAGCCACACUGGAACUGAGACACGGUCCAGACUCCUACGGGAGGCAGCAGUGGGGAAUAUUGCACAAUGGGCGCAAGCCUGAUGCAGCCAUGCCGCGUGUAUGAAGAAGGCCUUCGGGUUGUUAAGUACUUUCAGCGAGGAGGAAGGCAUCAAGGUUAAUAACCUUGGUGAUUGACGUUACUC